Molecule: non-coding RNA, 88 nt
Filed under: Vibrio marisflavi
Lineage: Bacteria; Pseudomonadati; Pseudomonadota; Gammaproteobacteria; Vibrionales; Vibrionaceae
Description: c-di-GMP-I
Rfam family: c-di-GMP-I riboswitch aptamer
About the family: GEMM was predicted in a large-scale screen for bacterial structured RNA regulatory elements. Genes associated with GEMM are involved in a diverse array of functions, including chemotaxis regulation, signal transduction, secretion and chitin.
Source: RNAcentral
AUACGUACAUGGCAAACCACUUGAGAGAGUGGGACGCAAAGCUUCCGGCCUAAGUCUAUUUUAAAGAAUAGGUAGCGGGGUUACCGAU